This 587-nucleotide long non-coding RNA is filed under the name Monodelphis domestica (gray short-tailed opossum). RNAcentral's name for it is "lncRNA (ENSMODG00000033378.2)". Lineage: Eukaryota; Metazoa; Chordata; Mammalia; Didelphimorphia; Didelphidae. The record is from RNAcentral.
AGCUCUCUAUCCAUUGAGCUACCUAGUGUGAAUUUUAAAUUCUCUCCAUCUUGCUUGGUCUAGCACCCAGGAAUGUGCACACCCACACUACACGGGCAUGUGCUAGCUAAUGACAAAUCAGAAACAACUAACUGCUCCCCCGGGCUGUCCUAAGCCAAGCUGGAGCCACUUUUAGUGGCUCAUGUGAGACGCAGGAAGUGAGGUAGAGAACAGCCUCUGGAGUUCUCGUCACUUCCUGUGGAGAUGGCAAGGCACCAGUUCUCAAGGAACUUAUUCUGAAACAUUCAGAUUGAGGAUUGAGCUGGUGAAGUCAGCUGAGAUGGAGCUGGCCUGGUGUCACUAGAAUCUUUGCUUGGACAGAUUUUGUGGUUACCUCUCCAUGUCUUUGCAUUGCCCACGCCUUCUCUACAAAGUUUCACCUCUGUACCUCAACAUGGAGUGUAGGCGGCCUUGGGGUGUUGAAGGCCAUAUGCCAGCAGAGCAUCAGCCCUGACAGGCUUCAUCAAAAGGUUGUAAAGGCUUUCAGGGUUGUCUGGCAACAGGCCAAGUAUGCUUUCUGAGGAACAGCUCAGCUAAGUCCAGAGAGG